AGGAAAGUGCGUUUGGGGAAAGGAACAAUUCAAGGCAGCAACGCUUCUCAUUGGCUGGGCUGCAGCAUUUCUCAUUGGCUGAGUUACAGCAUUUCUCAUUGGCUGGGCUGUGGCAUUUCUCAUUGGCUGAGCUACAGCAUUUCUCAUUGGCUGGGCUGUGGCAUUUCUCACUGGCUGAGCCAUGCUGUUUCUCAUUGGCUGAGCUUUGGCAUUUCUCAUUGGCUGAGCCAUGCUGUUUCUCAUUGGCUGGGCUGUGGUGUUUCUCAUUGGCUGGGCUGUGGCGUUUCUCAUUGGCUGGGCUGUGGCGUUUCUCAUUGGCUGGGCUGUGGCGUUUCUCAUUGGCUGGGGUGUUGCCAGGUGGGGAGAGGACUCUUCCUUCGGUGGUAAAGUAGUUGUACUUCCACUGGGAGAUGUAAACCACGGUCUCUUCCCAUUUGCAGUAAAAUUGAUGUUGUUUGACAGGCUUCAGAGCUCCCCCUACAGGCCGUCCUGACUCCGUUUUCAUUGAGGUUUCUUAUACAUUUCACAGUUGGUAAAUAACCUUCGCACAGAGUCAAAUCGGGUGGGCUUUGUCUGCUGGGAAGACCCUAAAUGUCAACUCUGCCUCAGGAGUGGCAAGAAGAGCAGAGGGAGAGAGACUUGGCAGAGAGGCUCUGGAGCUGAUGGACAGAGGCCGGCAGAGCGGCCGCUACAGAACAGUGACCGGCCACGUCCACCCAAACAGCCUCAGUGGUGGUCUUGAGCCUUGAAGUUAGUCAUGGAUCCCGGGCUGCAGGAGGCGGAGAGAAGCCACAUGAGAACCUGGAGCGGAUGAAAUCCAGGGGAGCCAGCAUGGAGCAGCCGCAGAACAAUGACCCCAAGUCUUGAGGCCACUAACAGGGCUGCGUCCAGCAGAACAGGCAGUUUUGGCGAUAUGUGACUUCAGUGCUCUCUGCAGGGGCCCCAGACCCUCUAUCACUCCAAGCUUAGCCUGCCCCCUGCCCCUCAAAACCCUUAAGUUCUGGGCACCAUCACUUCUGCUCCACUCUUCGAGGCUCCACGAGGCUCCUGGUAGUUGAGUGAUGGGAAGAGAAACUCCAGGGGGACAAAGCGACUUCCGAAGCUAACUUUAUUACCCGUGUUGGCUGGUGAGGAGUUUGUGGCUGCAAAAAACAAGUUGUCCAUGAGCAGAGAUGCUGUUCCGGCCUUCAGUUGCUGGUCAUGGCCCUGACUCUCUUCCCAAAAGUGAAUUUAACACUGUAACAAUAAAU
Molecule: long non-coding RNA, 1250 nt
Filed under: Equus asinus (donkey)
Lineage: Eukaryota; Metazoa; Chordata; Mammalia; Perissodactyla; Equidae
Description: lncRNA (ENSEASG00005030278.1)
Source: RNAcentral